AGUGAAACCGCAAAGGCUCAGUAAACCAGUCAUGAUUCACUCGAGUAUACAUGACUGUCUUUGGAUAACUGUGGUAAUCCUAGAGCUAAUACAUGCAAUCAAGUCCCGACCAGUCUAACUGGGAAGGACGCUUUUAUUAGAUCAAGACCAAUCGCCCGGCUCGUUCGGGCGUUGCCUUGGUGACUCUAGGUAACACAUCAGAUCGCACGGUCCUCGCACCGGCGACUUAUCCUUCAAAUGCCUGACUUAUCAACUGUCGAUGGUAGACUCUAUGUCUACCAUGGUUGUAACGGGUAACGGGGAAUCAGGGUUCGAUUCCGGAGAGGGAGCCUGAGAAACGGCUACCACAUCCAAGGAAGGCAGCAGGCACGCAAAUUACCCACUCCCGGCACGGGGAGGUAGUGACAAAAAAUAACGAUACGGGACUCUUAUGAGGCCCCGUAAUCGGAAUGAGUACACUUUAAAUCCUUUAACAAGGAUCCAUUGAAGGGCAAGUCUGGUGCCAGCAGCCGCGGUAAUUCCAGCUUCAAUAGCGUAUAUUAAAGUUGUUGCGGUUAAAAAGCUCGUAGUUGGUUCUGCGUGCCACGCUGUCGGUUCGCCGCCUGCCGGUGUAACUGGCAUGCCGUGGCAUGUCCUGUCGGUGGCGUUCGGGAGCCUCGUCUAGGCGCCGGCCCUUGCCCAAAGCUUGGUGCUCGGAGGCCGGGGGUAUACCCGUUCGCCUACUCUAUCCUACCUAGGUGCUCUUCACCGAGUGUCGAGGUAGGCCGACACGUUUACUUUGAACAAAUUAGAGUGCUCAAAGCAGGCUGAAAUCUCUGCCUGAAUAGUGGUGCAUGGAAUAAUAAAACAGGACCUUGGUUCUAUUUUGUUGGUUCUUAAGAACACAAGGUAAUGAUCAAUACGGACAGGCGGGGGCAUUCGUAUUGCGACGUUAGAGGUGAAAUUCUUGGAUCGUCGCAAGACGCACAAGAGCGAAAGCAAGCCAGCGAUCCGCCGAUGUUCCUCCGAUGACUCGGCGGGGAGCUUCUUCCCGGGAAACCAAAGCUUUUGGGUUCCGGGGGAAGUAUGGUUGCAAAGCUGAAACUUAAAGGAAUUGACGGAAGGGCACCACCAGGAGUGGAGCCUGCGGCUUAAUUUGACUCAACACGGGAAACCUCACCAGGCCAGGACAUUGGAAGGAUUGACAGAUUGAUAGCUCUUUCUUGAUUCAGUGGGUAGUGGUGCAUGGCCGUUCUUAGUUGGUGGAUCGAUUUGUCUGGUUAAUUCCGAUAACGAACGAGACUCUAGCCUAUUAACUAGGCGUUUUCCGGUGUCCCCGCCACCGGCGACAAUCAUUCUUCUUAAGGGGACAGGCGGCUUUUAGCCGCACGAGAUUGAGCAAUAACAGGUCUGUGAUGCCCUUAGAUGUCCUGGGCCGCACGCGCGCUACACUGAAGGAAUCAGCGUGUGCCUCCCUGGCCGAAAGGCCCGGGUAAUCCGCUGAACCUCCUGCGUGCUAGGAAUUGGGGCUUGCAAUUGUUCCCCAUGAACGAGGAAUUCCCAGUAAGCGCGAGUCAUAAGCUCGCGUUGAUUACGUCCCUGCCCUUUGUACACACCGCCCGUCGCUACUACCGAUUGAAUGAUUUAGUGAGGUCUUCGGACUGGCGGUAAUCCCUACCGACUUGUCGGUAUCGAUGAACGCUGGAAAGAUGACCAAACUUGAUCAUUUAGAGGAAGUAAAAGUCGUAACAAGGUUUCCGUAG
RNAcentral lists this ribosomal RNA (1742 nucleotides) under Apolygus spinolae. Its description in RNAcentral is "SSU rRNA". It matches the Rfam family "Eukaryotic small subunit ribosomal RNA". Lineage: Eukaryota; Metazoa; Arthropoda; Insecta; Hemiptera; Miridae. The record is from RNAcentral.